AUGACUCUUGAACUACUUCAGUACUGUUGGUAUGAGCAAGAACAAAAAAUUCCUGCAGGCUGUAACAAAGUGUAAAGUGAUGAGGGAACAUCUGAGUGGUUACUCUGAAGACAGGACAGAGAUAUUGCUGCUUUUGCUCUCCCUCUGUACUUUAAUGGCAGAGGAAGUAGAGAUAGACAAAGUUAAUUUGACUCCCACCCUUGCUGUGUGUGGUGGAUCCUGCUUUUCUUCAAAGCGAUUCAUGCUGUGUGUGGAUCGAAAUGUUGUACAUGACAACAUCCCCUCCUUCAUUUCUGCUCUGUGCAUGAUGUUUGGGAGCUAUUAUUGCUUCAACAUCCAUUACCCAUCAGAGCUGGCAUCCACCCUGGAGUUUUUGCAGAGGAGUCUGACAACAACAGCCAGUGCACCACACAGAGGUCUGAUCUCAUCAUCAUCCAGUCUGUCUGGAAUGACAUGAAGAAACAGAACAAAGUGAGACAGACUAAAUCCAGAAGAACUGGGGCAACGUCUCCAAGAUGCUUCAAGAGACCUACCUGCUAAAACUACCUGAAAAACUAUGCGCCAGUGUACCUAGGGUAAAAGCUGCUUUAAAUGCAAAGGAUGGUGACACCAAAUGUUGAUUUAAUUUAGUUAAUAGAAGAAAUAAAAUCUAUUUUUGACAUUAUUUUUGACAGCAUCCUCAUUUUACAGCAUUUUUACACAAGUGCCUAAAACAUUUAACAGUACUAUAGCUUUGCAGGUAGGUAUCUUGAAGCUUCUUGGAGAAGUCUGUCUCAGAUCUCUGUGUGGAGCACUGGCUGUUGUCAGACUCCUUGUGCAAACAAAAAUCUCACUGGAUUAUUACAAUUUAUGGCAAAAUGAAUGUUUGGAAAUGUCAACUGAUAUUUCCUACUGACACAAUACAGAAGAAAGUUACAGUGUUUCACAACUGUUCUAGUUGCUAUUGCUCUACUAUUUUCUGAUUUCCAUUCUUGUAUCUCAUGUUAUUCUGAUUCCAAGGAUAUGCAGUAAUCCUUAGUUUUAAUGAUGGUACUAUUAUUCGUAAAAGAAACUCUUAUUUAUUCUUCAAACAUUUUAAGAGAGAAGUCCCUCCAUCUUUCCUUUGUCAUUUUUAGAGAAUCAUUAAUCAUUAAUCAACAUGCUCUCUGCUGUAUUGUUUGUAAAGUACACUUUACAAAUUUGUGUUGAGAACAGAUUUUUUUUGUUCACUUGUUAGAGGUCAAUAAAUGCUUCAAAGGGCAAAUUAUUAUUGGAUUUCUAAAUCUUUCCAUGCAGUAGCUCUUAAUGUAUAUCUAGCUUUAGCGUUUCAGUAUUUCAAAGCCUAAUCUGUGUACAUUGGGUUAUAUUUUUCACAUUUCUGAUCAAAGUCUAUAUGGUGGUGCAGUUUAUACGAAGCUAAAAUCAAUGUUUGAAAAACAGUUUCUCAAUCAACAUAACCUAGCAAAUUUAGAUUAUCUAAAAAAGGAAUGGGAGGAGGAUCUGAAUGAACACAUUUCAGAGACAACUUGGCAGAAAAUUAUUAAACAGAUCUAUUUGUCAUCUAUAUGUCAACGACAUGUGAUUCUGCAGUUUAAGGUGGUGCACCGAGUCCAUUGGUUAAAGGUUAGACUAUCUAAAUUCCGGUCAGAGCUAGACCCUAUUUGUUACAGAUGUAGACCAUCUCCUGUAAGCCUUCUACGUAUGUUCUGGACAUGCCCGAGUUUGUAUAAUUUCUGGAAAUUGAUUUUUGUUGCAUUCUCAGAAAUAAUAGGUUUGCCAAUAGAGUCAUCUUCUUUUAUUGCGAUAUUUGGUGUUACAACACAAAACAUGCACAUAAGUAGCUAUCAUUGUAAAAUGGUGGCCUUUUGCAAACUCCUUGCCAGAAGAUUAAUACUGCUUAAAUGGAAAGACCCCCACCCCCCUAUUUUCCCUCAGUGGAUUAAAGAGACCAUGCAGUAUCUUAAACUGGAAAAAAGUAAGAUACUCUCUACAAGGGUCUUACCAGAAAUUCUAUGCAAUCUGGCAACCUUUUUUGUCAUUUGUUGAAAAAGACAAGUAGGGAACACAACCCCAAUUUAUUUUUUAUUUGACUUUAUUUUUAUGUUUUAAUUAAUUAAUUAAUUAAUUAAUUAGUAUUUUUUUUGUAUUAAUUUGUAUGUAAUUUUAAUUUGUAAUUAAUUAUAUGUCUUCUUUGUACAAUGUAACUGAUGCUUUCUGUCUGAUGGGUAAAAGGUUGGGUUGGGCUAUGUUGUAUUUCUUCUGUUGUUUCCUUCCACACUGUAA
Hemibagrus wyckioides is the source of this 2262-nucleotide long non-coding RNA. RefSeq lists it as uncharacterized. Lineage: Eukaryota; Metazoa; Chordata; Actinopteri; Siluriformes; Bagridae. The transcript is spliced from 3 exons. The record is from RefSeq and is a predicted model, not a curated record.